RNAcentral lists this long non-coding RNA (4139 nucleotides) under Lupinus mutabilis. RNAcentral's name for it is "partial ncRNA". Lineage: Eukaryota; Viridiplantae; Streptophyta; Magnoliopsida; Fabales; Fabaceae. The record is from RNAcentral.
GUUGACCUCAUUGCGUGAAAAAAAUCCAAGAGCUGGGGCUUGGUUAGACAACAUCCCAAAUGAGAAAUGGGCUCAAUGUUACGAUGAAGGUUCUUCUGAGGGUAGGGGGCCAUAUACAGAAAUCAUUCUCUAGUGUGCCGAUGAGCGCAACGAAUGUUAUUGGGAGUAGAAGGAGGAGGAUUCUUCUCUUCUUCAGCUUCAGGAUAUAGGAAGGGCCUGACGCUUCUCCUUCUAGGUCAGAGGAGUGAUGAUAAAUCCAGGAGAGUUUUGCCGUGGAACCAAUAUCUGUUGAUAGACCGAGAAUUUGAUCCUCAGCUCCAGCUGGCUCCCACAAAGAACUGCCUCUCCCGCGGCUGCGCUUCCUUUUUUUGCUUUGGUCGCGCGUCCGCAGAGCUUGACACUCCAUCUCAUCUUAAUGUUGGCCCUGUCCAUCAGCAUGAUGUCAUACCAAGGUCGUUGGUUUCCAACAAGGGCAAUGAUUCUUCUCCUCAUGUAGAUGAUGAUAAUAGAAAGGUUACUCUUAAAAGUAGCUUGAAAAAGCCACAACAUAAUAAACCAGCUCCUGUUGAUGCUAUUAGUGAACAUGAGGAAAUGGGUGGAAAAGGGACUGAUGCUCCUCAAACAGAGACUAGGAAAGUGCAGUGGACAGAUGAUUGUGGCAGUAAGCUUGUAAAUAUAAGAGAAUUUGAGCCCAGGUUGCAUGACUGUUCCUCCCAAGAAUCGAUCCUUGGCCUUUUAUAGCCUUGUACGAUACCCGUGAAUCUAGUUGGGCCUUACAUUGGACCAACUCCUUGUUGGUAGUUUUCUUUCUCUUCAUUAAAUUUUAAAAUUAAAAGGUCCUUUGUGUCAGAUUUUACCAUUAGAGAACUCUUGGUACCUUAUAUCCUGUGAUUGAUAGUGAACUAGAUAUACUAUGGCAGCCUUCUCAUUUUUCAUUUUCUAUUAUUCUAAUUGAUUCAGAAGUCUAUAUUUAUUAUUGUUAUAAAUGAUGAAAGUUAGUUGUUAAGCUUGGUGUUUUGAGUGAAAACUGUUUACAUUUUUUUAGGUUAAGCGUGAGCUAAAUUCUAAUUAAAGCAGGUGUUUAAAUGUAAAAUCAUUCACGAGCCUUCAUCUAACACCUUCAACUUUUCGGAGAGUUGGUUGUCGACAUGAUUGAUAUUAGAGCCUCUAUGUCCCGAUGGUUAGGUUAGAUCCUUGUUGUCCUCAUUCUUUUAGAUAAAAAGUUGCAUUUUAGUACAAGGUAAUGUGAGACUGGGCAUUACUAUAUAAAAAGGUGGGACUGGGCAUUGUCCAUAUUUCAAGCCAUAAUACCUCUUAGGUAAGGUGUAUUAAAUACAGUUGUGUUAUUUCCCAGGCCUUUUGAAUGAAUUGUCUGAUUAUGCUGAAGACUCAAAUUUUAUUUUCUUAUAUUAUUCAAGUGUUAUUUCCCAGGCCUUUCCCUUGCUAUAUAUGCUCAUUACUCAUUGAUUUCAUUCAACAAUUUGAUUAGUAGGGUGUUCUUCAUUAAACAUUGUUACAGUCUUCCCUUAUAUGCAAUGCCAUGUCAAAGGCAGUGUUGGGCCAAGAGAUCAAUAUCUUUUUUCUGUGAAAACUAAUCGCUCCCUCUUUUCAUACUCUGUUCAUCCUUUAUUAAAUAGUUGUUUUUUCCCUGGUGACAUCACUUCAAUUACAAUAGACUUAUACUAUGUAUUGACUAGGAAUUUUGUAAUGCUUCGAGGUAAUAUGUUGAGGAAAGAAAUGAAAACUGGAGCUUCAGAAUAUAUUUUUUUGGUAAACAGAGAAAUUUAAUAGAAAUAAGAAAAAAAAAUACAAUGGUAGAGGGAGGAUAAGGAAUCCCCUCCUAAUAAAAAGAAAAAAAGAAUUGAAAAAAUAGAAACUUAAGCAACAAGGCUUCACACUUUAGCCUCGUUGAUUUAAAAUAUGAGUAUUGCUAUAACCAAAUACACCAUAUUGUUGCAUAGAUUGCACAUUGCAAAAAAACUUUAGCCUCUUUACUUCUGAAACAAUGGAAACCACCUGUUAACAUGUCAGGGGAAAAAGCCUUAUGUGGGCCAUUAACUUGCAACAUAUCAUUAGUAUCUAGUAGUAGUUCUUUUAAGUGCCACAGUCCAAAUAAAAGAUUUGACCUUAGAGGGAUCUUUGAUUUCCACAUUGGUGUAUCCAGAAGAAAAGCAUCCUUGUCCAAGAAAAUGUGAAGGAGUUUGAAAAGGAGAAUUUCAUAAAAAUUCCCUAUCAAGGAACCAAAUAUUCUGGUUGGGGUGAGAAUACAGAUGAAUGGAGUAACAGAGGCCCAAAAUGGGCUCCGACUCGAAAAAUUCUUGUCAUUCAAAUUAUGAUAAAGAAGAAAUUCCAUGAAAAAUAGAAUCUUGGAGUCCAUAAAAAUUGUGGAUUGGAGAAUUACUCAAAGAAGAAAGAUGAUAAAGACAAGGAAAGUCGCAAGUAAAAAGAACAUCUCCUACCCAUAGAUUCUCCUAAAAAUUAAUUUGUCUUUACCCAGCUUCAAGAAAGCAAAUACUUAAAGGUAGCAUUGUUGGCAUCCCACCCAUCUGGGCAUAAACUGUACUUCAAAUUAUCUGGUGCUAAAAAGAUUGAGGUUAGAAAGGGAAACACCAUAAGUAUGUAGCAGGUAGAGCAAUACUCUUAGACACCAAACUACCUAGUUCCAAGCCUCUCUUUAUUCUUAGGAUGACGAAACACCUCCCAUAUUACUCAGAGGCUAUUUAUAGAAAAAUAAAAAGAAAAUCUGCAGAGGCUAAACCAUUAGGUUGCUGCACUUUUGCCUCUGAAGUGCAAUGAGCACUUGAGAGGCCCAACCCCUCGUAGUAUUUGCUCCAAUCGUGAAGUUCUUGUCCUCUGUAUUUUUAGCAUAAAUUGUUGAGGAUCUUGAUUGGUGAAAGUUGGUUUAAUCUUGCUAACAUAGAGUCCAAUCACUCGUCCAAGUGAUCACCCUGUUGUAAUACGUGGGUCUGAAACCCCAAAUGCAAACAAAAAUGGGGUUCAACGACUCAUGUCGGUAAUGCAUGGAACUUUUCCAGUUUGACCUAGGCUUAUUGUGUAUCUUUAUUAAAUGAGUAUAUCACAAACAAGACUAAACUACAACAGUUAAUAUGUCUUUAAAACUCCUGUCCUUUACCGUGCUAGGUUGACAACCUUCAAUUUUGUUUAUUCUGCACAAAACAUGUUAUUAUGCUUUACAGAAUAGCUGGAUGUGAUUGAAGUCCUUCACAUUUUUCUGUCAUAUUUUUUACACUUUUUUCUUUUUCUUGUUUUGCGACUUGUUUGUAAUUGAUUGUAUGGGCAUUGUGAUUUAACUGCAGUGAAGCGGAAUCAUUUGAUGAAUUUGAUAAUGCAAAUAACAGGAAUUGUUCUUGUGCUGUUAUGUAAAUUUGCAAUUCACCAAGAUGACAUGGACUCAUAACAUGGACCAAGUCAUUCAUUGCUAGGCUAGCACAUUCCAUUGCUCUGGUCUGAGGCAAAAGGAGCAAAGAAUUUUCAGUGUAGUGCUUGACCAGACAUUCAUGUCAAUAAUUGCUUCCUAUGGCCUUCAAUUUUGUUCCUUCUCUUCUCAUCAAUUCGUUGUAUAAUCUUUGUUGUGUGAAUUCUGUCUUUUGAUUCAUCAUUUUAAUGCUAUUUUUUGUUGUUAUUUUUAUAUAGUCAAACAAGAUUGUAGUUCUAUGAUCUGACAUUAUCUUAAAAUAAGAUAAUACAAAAUGUGAGAUUUGUAAAUAAGCAAUCCUGUCUUGAUGGGGAAGUAAACUUUUGAUGCCAGCUUGGUCUACAUAAACAAUGGUCUGUCUGGAUUCAAAAUUUUCUUGGGUUUUAGGAUUCCAAGCUUCUUUAUUCAAAUCAUGAUUCAAGAUAUGUUGAGAUCUGGCUGUUUUAAAUAUAGAAGAAAGAUGAUACUGCAAUUGCACAAGAAGCUGUGGUGAGUUUACCUUCAUCUCGUUUGCAAGUUGAGUUUAGGACGAGAUGAAAGAGAAAAAGAAGGUUUCCGAGUCUUACAGGUAUAUUUUGUGACGUCCACUUUUCAUUUUUUUCCUCAAAACCCAACUCAAUGAAACUGUUUUUUGUAAUUUGGAGUGGUAGUUGUGUCCUGUAUUUAUUUAUGCUAAACAUUAGAACAUGUUUAAUAAUUUAAU